Non-coding RNA from Anas platyrhynchos (mallard), 7114 nucleotides. The record is from RefSeq and is a predicted model, not a curated record. Lineage: Eukaryota; Metazoa; Chordata; Aves; Anseriformes; Anatidae.
CCCCAUCCAUGCAGGUGUGGUCCAUUUGCACAGGGGCGUCCCCUCCACAUGGCCGUGCUUAUCUGUGCAGCCAGCCAGGGGGGCUUGCUUCUCUCUGAAGGGUCCCUUUGUGCCUGCAGAGAGGCUUGGCUUCAGGUGGCCCAGCCCGGGACAGCUCUGCCCAGCUCAGCCUGGCCUGGAGGUGAUGCUGGCCCAUGGGGAGCCAUAAAGCAACCCAGCAUGGGAGGAAGGGGACCCAUAUCUGACCUAGAGCAUUGCCAAAGCGAGGCCGUGAAGUUUAAGAGGAACAUCUGAACGGAUAAAGGCUUCACAGCCUUGAAAAGCUAUGGCUGACGGGACUAUAAGAGGGAUCUAUAAAAUCCUGGAUGUCAUGGAGAGGACUGGUAGGAAACAAUAAUUUUCUGUUUCCAGCUGCAGAACUGGAAGCUACUGAAGAUAACUGGCAGUGUUCAGAUUCAGACAAACCAAAGGGAACGGUUCUGGAGGAUGUGCUAUCACUGCAGGACUUCCAGAGGGCGAAGGCUGUCAUGGCUUCAAGAGAGAUCUGGGUAACCUGGUGGAAGGAAAAGCCAAGGGCUAUUCAAAUCCAAGGUCUUCACUGUCUCUGAGUCCAUGUCCCUGCAGCCGUGACCGUGUACUGGGGACAUGAACAGGUCUGCCCAGGUCCUGCCACAUUUCCCCGGGCCUCUGCAAAAGGUCCUGGGUGCUGUGGGGACAGUGGACCAUUGGCUUGGCCUGCAAAGGCUCAUCACUGUAGGAUGCAUUGAUGCAAUCUUUUGGAUGAAUAAUGGGGGGGUUAGAGAAAGAGGUGAGCCUUCUCGCUCUGCCUCCCCUACCCAACACGUCCCAGGUGGAGAGGAACGCUUCAGUGCGGCCAGGAAUUUCCUUGACUUUCUUUGGCCUUUCGUAAAAUGUCAGAGUCCCUGCUGGCUGUAAAAUUCAGGCCCUUUGAACUCAGCUCAGGGAGGAGCAGGAUUUAAGGCACGAGCUGCAAACUGCCCGGUGCCCAGUCCCGCUUCCAUCAGUGCUGGGCUGCCCGCCUUGCCGAGGGGGGACGGAGCUCAGUGUGGGUUUAAAACCAAAACACGUGUUGCAUGCUUUGUUGUUGCUAGGGCCUCCUAAUUUCUGAGUAGGUGUUUAAUUUAUUUUCCUCUUUAAUUUUUUUUAGUGUUAAGAGGCAUGAAUCAUUCAGUUCCAUUUACCAAAAGGGCUUUGCUCCUGGAUUUUGUUUCUGUGGAUAUUUGCAGCAGCUACCUCCUGUGAGUAGGAUGUUGUUACUGCUGUGUUAAGGGGCAAGAUGCUGGUAAGGGAAGCUGAGAAAACUGAGUAAUUUCUGGUUUGUAAACCGCAGAAAGAUGCCCCACACAUUGAUGAGAGAGAUAGUAGAGAGAUAGAUAUGUAGCAGCAGAAUAAGAACAAGAAGUUUAAGAAAAUUAGGUUUGAGAUUGAACGAUAUGUUGUAAAUGGGGACUGCAGUAGUGAUGGUUGCCAGAAGUCAGCUGCUAUUUCUUUCCUCAUGGUUUCUUGACUGUGCAGAAAUAUUAAACAUAACUAAAGGAUGUGGCAACCUCUCUUUACAUAUAUUCCUGUUCUAAAUGUUUUAUCUUUGUGCCUCACCAGGGAGGGUUUAUGUCUGUAUGCACUUGGAUAGUUGUGAGUGUGCCAUGCCCCUAGCUUGGCAUUGUGAACAAUAAGGAGAAAACGGAUAGGAAACAAAUGUUCAUGUUUCUGAUAUAUUGCCAAAGCUAGAAGUUGAUAAUUUAAUCUGCCGCCUAACAGCUUGAUAGUCUACAAAAAGUCCCACUUUUAUCCACACACAAACUGUACAGCUCACUGCCACAGAUGUUGGGGAGGCCGAAGAGAUAAAUCCGUCGUCUGUAGUAAUUAAAUAGAUGGCUGGGAUUCAAACCUAGGUCAAAUAUCUAAUUUCUCAGAUUUAGUGUGGCAAUAUCUUCAGUUAUUUCUGUAAUUUAUGCAGCUGUCAUAAAUACUUCUGUGCACGGAAACCUACAGAAGUUCCGCUAAGACACUUAUACACCUUUGAGUAAAGCAAUAGGCAUUUCUUUAAGGUGGAGUUUUUUGUUGGAGCACCAGAUCCCUUUCUGUGCUUCUUCUGGAAAUAGUCGGUCAUCCUGUAGCCAAGCUGCCACCCGUGCAGGUGCCUCAGCCAGAGCGGAUCAGGUGAGCUGCAGAUAUUGCCCUGGUGCCCGCAUGCCCUGCAGCACACUGCCCUUGUGCCCAGCGCUGCUAGUGCAUUAGGGCCGGUCACCUCAGCACCAGGCCUCAUGGAUGGAGUGAAUGUGGAGACUCCCUCGGUACACAAAAUGCAGCACUGUGUGGAGCAGGUCUGGAACCAGCAGCAUGAAAAGUGCCAUCCGUUUUGCAAGGAGGAAAUGCUUAGUGGGGCUGCGCAUGGUUAAAACUCAUGGGCUGUGCCUGGGCCUGAGCUCCAUCACCGUGUCCUCUGCAGAAACCAGAGCUUUGGAUGGAUGAACAGAGAUGUUCCAGGCACAGGAUCUCUUCUCCUUUAAACCAGGGUAUAAAACAUGUUGCUGGUUUUGUGCCUGUCCGCCCUUACAUGGAUCUCUUUACAAUUUCUGGUCACGCAAAGAGCUGCAUCAUUUACAAGCGGGAUUCACAGGAAUGCAGCUCUGCUGCUAAGGAGCAGCUGGAGGACACACUUAAAUAAAGCAGGAAUCCUCCUCGCAAGCUGUUUCAUGUUAUCAUGAAAGUUUAUAGAUUGAGAUAAAUCUCUUCUGACCUAUGUGACCCCCUUGGCAAGCAAUGACAGGUCCCACUGAGCCUGAGCCCAGGUUCUUUUAAUAUUUCUGAAACUUCUGGAGCAUUCCUUACUCCUCGUGAACUUGACCAAGUACAAAGGGAAUUUAAUCUCCUUCUCUCACGGCUCCAAACUCCCAGGGUCUGACUUUCUUGCUUUCUCUGCAGACAGUCAUCCAUCUCCCUGCAAAUGGGAGACUUCUCUGCGCACUGGAAGCGCUCCUAGCUUCACCCAACAAUAAAUCACUCAGACCUGACUACCUCCGGAAAAUCUUUGUAGCUGUGACGUGACAUCACAGAAAUCCUGGGCAGGGAGCACCGGAGCGGUAUUUCUCCUUAGCAGGGUGUGGCUGCUGAAAAGGGUUGCUCCGUGUUGCAGCCCACCAACCUUCAGGUGCUGCUGAUGUGGAAAAUGCCUUUCCAGUGGCUGGGUGACCAACCCGUACAAAAGCCUUCUGCCAGGCUCAUUCAUAGGCAGCUCCUGGUGGUUGUCCACGAGCCUGAGAGCCACCCAUCGCCCUGGGUUCCUUCAGGGCAGACCGGAGGGGAACGGCGAGGGGCUGCACGGAGAGCAACGGCUGGGGCGGCUCGUGGCAGGCUGCUUUCCAGUCCACAUGUGGACUUGUUAGUCCUCGCUGCUCGCUUUUGUACCACACUUGUAGGGAACUGAAAGUUGUUUAUCUGCAGUCAGGGCUGCAAAACCCCUGCAGGCGUAUGACAGAUUCACUGGGAUCUCUGCCUUGCUGAGAGCCACCUUGCCUGCUAAUGUUUGAGGUUUUCUUAGAGGUAGUUUUGUGAUUUUCUUUCUCCCCCUUUUCAGGCCCCCAGCCUGUAUGUUCCAGACCUCGUACCUCCCUCCCCUAUUGCACAUUUAUGGGAUGCACAAAGGCAUUUUACAAGAGCCCGAUUUAGAUGCGAUGGUAACACAGGUAUUGCUAAAUGUUCUCUGAGUUGUGUUUUCAACUGUUAGAGCAGCUCUGCCCAAAUAAAGCUCUUACAGAGAGCUUCAUACUGAAAGAAAAUUGCGAUCAAGAUCAUUAUACAGAAUGAGUAAAGAAUGAGGCAUGGGGCUGGGUUUGGCCUACCAAACACUGACAGACACAACUGAAGUCAGUAUUUCGAAGCAGGCUGUGCCCUGGGAUCACUGCUGGAGCGGAGCAGGAGAGAUCAGUGUGGCCAGGCUUUCCUAAAGCAGUGGUGGAAAUGCAAGCUUUGGGAGGGGUUGGAUGGUGGGAGGUGGCUCCACAGUCAGAAGGCCACAAAGAUGAACCAGGAGAAUCUGUGGGAUGGUGACAGCCAGACAGGUGAGGGCAGAAAGCCCCUGCAGGUAAAUGUCCUGCUGUCGGAGUCAGACAUGGCAGGUAGGCAAUACAAAGCAUGGAAAUGAAGCCAUUCAGCAGAAUUAAGGCAGCAAGGGGGUGAAAAAAAACCACUCCCAUCUCAACAAUAUGUACAUUUUCAUCAGGCCAAACUGAAAAAAAUGCAUUGAGGAGGGUAUUACAGACCCAGUAAUCCAGAAAAAGCUCCUGCUUUCACUCAGCAAAACCCUUCACCGAACCUGGUAGGAUGAAAAGUAGGGAAGGGUGUGGAAUAAAUCACUCCGUGUAUAUUUUGCAUAUGUAUAAGCAAGAAAAGCUGGAUGGUGACUAGCAUGGCUGUGAGAGCACUCUUAAAGAAUCAUUUAAGUAGCAUAUGCUUUUAAAACUCAUCCUUCUCAUGUCAUUAGCUAGCACACAGACCGGGGAGCAGGUCCAGCAUUCCCCGUUACAGGUGUGUAUGCAAACUUGAGAGACACAAAUUGUGGCUGCGCAGUGGUAGAUGCACAGCAUGCUUUUAGCACGCGGCAGCUUUUCAAGCCUUCCUUCCUAAAACAUUUAUGUUCCCAGAAAAGCCAGUAAAUAUCCUCAUGCUUGCUCUUUAUGAAAUUAUAGUCAAGGAUGGAUGUCAAGCAUUUUGCUGCUUGCAAACACUUUCACACAGCUCUCACUUUAGUAUUGCAGGGCUCUUAAUAAAGCAUAAUAACUAAGUUCAAGCUUUUUUGGGAAGGCUUCUGUGGUCCUGCUGCCAACCAUAAUCGACAGGCAUUUGAAAUUCAUGAGCUCAGUCAAUGCUGUGAUUACAUUUUUGAAGAAACUGUCCAAACAGGCUGCAGCAGAGUGCAGUUUCCUCAUUCAUUGUAUUACUUCUGUUCCCCAUCCUUGUACAAUAAUCACUGAGUGCAGAGGCUUUGCUUUGGGUAUGGCUCAGUGACAGGCUACACAAGGAGCUGUUUUGACAGCUUUGCAGCUGCUUUUGGGCCCGUUAUGUGGUUAGGCUGCUGAUGGGCUGUCUAGACAAGCACGCCUUCUAGGAUGCCAUGUUCUUCUGGUUCACAUUUGAUUAUGAGACAGGCUUUUUCAUUUGUAAUGCAAACAAGCCCCUGGAAAAAAAAAAAAAUCUUCUGUGGGAUUUCUUGUACAAAAGCCCCCUUUUUUCUGAAGGGUGAUUUGAUUCAUACAUUUCCGUUCCCCACUGUGGAUAUAUUUUCAGCUUUCCCAUUUGGGCAUUGGGUUUCCUGAAAAAAAAGGGUGAGGUGAAAGUGCUGAGCCCCUCAGAAAUCGCUCACAUUCUGCAGAGAUGCACAGCUGUGCAAAUAUGAGGCCUUGUGUGGAACAAGUGGACUGAAAUCCACCUGGUUCCAUUGCUUCUGCUUAACGUGCCUGGCCUCAGGCUCUCUGUGAGGCUGCCAAGGGAAGAGUGAACUUUCCUGGCCAAUUUUUCAUGGGCAAUGCAAAACCCACUGGGCAGUUUGACCUGGUUCUUGGUUCGAUUCUGCUUUAAGGCCACCUCUUGCCAUUGCCAACCACAGCUGCAAGCAGUUCUGCAAGACUGAAUGCUGGGCUUGGUCUGAAAGGACUGUUGAAGGGGAUGAGUUUCCUGACCAGAAUGGACGCAGUCAUCAAUUUCCCUGUAAAUGAAGCAAUUUAUCCUAACAGUGAGGAGAGAGGACCCUGAAUCAAGAGAGAAGGUUUUGCCCAGGGACUUCAAUGCUGGCUCCUUGUUGACUGUUGCUGCUUCAUUUGUCUGCUUGGUGCUCUUGCUCUGCUCACCCAUCUCUUGCCGUGGGCACAAGAUGCCUUUCCAGAUGGCUGCAAAUACAAGCACAUUGCUAUAGGCUUGCUAUAAACGGUGAUAUUGCCUGCAUGUAGAGAGGGCAUUAACAGCUCUGUUUGAAAAGUGCAGCUUGGGAAGUCUCAGGGAUUUCAGAGAAAGCUGGAGAAGAUUUAUCUUGCUGCAUCCUCGUACAUCCCCUGACUUUGCUCCCAUGUAGCUGCAGAUGUGAACCAAGAGGUCAUGUUGAAGCUUCCUGCUAGAUUUUGCAUUCCCCCUGGAAAAAUGGCUGCGAGAGUUAAGUCUCCCUCUUCCACUUCAUGCUGAGCUCCUGUGAAUGACCUGACUUCACUAAACUCACAGGAAUAUCAUAACCACGCACAGAUGUCAGCACAGGCGGCUCUGCUCCCCUCUGCAAACGCUGUGCAGAGGCUGGGCGUGCAGCUGGGCUGCCUGCCAGCUCGGGGAAUGGUUCUGCUCACGGAGACGGGGCCAGACCCCUGGAUAAACUCCACUGCUUCUCUCCAUAAAGGUUUUGAAGUAGGGUAAGUGGGACGCAUCAUGUAGACCUAAAUAAAUCAGAGAUUUUCAUUUCUGAUCUCACCAUUGCUGAAUGGGCUCUCUUCCAAGCAUGUUUUAGUUUGAGGAAAAUCUGUCUUCUGCAUUUUUUUCUGAAGCCUUUCUCUCCUCUUCUGUUGACCAUCCGACUUUUGUUUAUGAAUUUAGCAUGGUACAUUAUUACGAAGUUAGCACAUUAUUGAAUUGUUUGAGCGUGGCUUAGCCCUAAAUGAGCAUAUGGUAAUAACAUAAGAUCAGAGCCAAGAAAAACAGAAAAAUUCUCAAUGUGUCAGGAGGGAGAAAACACCUUGCUAUGUCUUAAGGAGAAUAAAGAAAUCUCCUAACAUUCACAGCCUUGUCCAGCACCCCAUGAUCCUGUCUCUAGAUCAGAGCAGCAGUUUGUUAUCUUUGUAACAUACAACUGUCAAAAAAGGAGCUGCGGGUAUUUUUCAUUAAAAAGCAUUUGUUUAUUGAAUUAUUUUGUCUUAUUAGAGAGGUCUUUUAAAAUGUGUUUUCCAGUCCUGUCUGUAAAACUAAGUGUUGUCAUUAAGCACGUCUAAAUAGUUGUUCCAUUGCACUAUCCAUGCCCACAUCAACAAAAAAGUGAAAUAAAAAUAUUCAUUUUUUGCUUAUUUGAUAGCAGGUUUGCUCCCUAGUGAUGGGAUAUUUGAUAGAUUUUAGAUGACAA